GGGCACUGUCGCCUUAUGUGGGUACAGCCUACUCCUCAAGCGUCCCACCUAGAGCUUGUUAUGUAUUAGGAGACAUGCAAAUAGGGUCCUCCCUCUACUAAUGAAAACCAACUGAACCCUGACCCUGCAGCUCUGAGACAGGAGCCUUAGCCCUGGAUUCCAAGAACUUCCACUUUGGGAUCAGCUCUGAACACAGAGGACCAUGGAGUUGGGGCUGAGCUGGGUUUUCCUUGUUGCUAUUUUAAAAGGUGUCCAGUGUGAGGUGCAGCUGGUGGAGUCUGGGGGAGGCUUGGUCCAGCCUGGGGGGUCCCUGAGACUCUCCUGUGCAGCCUCUGGAUUCACCUUUGGUGAUUAUGGCAUGCACUGGGUCCGCCAGGCUCCGGGAAAGGGACUGGAGUGGGUCUCAUCCAUUAGUAACACUGGUAAAACCGUAUACUACGCUGACUCCGUGAAGGGCCGAUUCACCAUCUCCAGAGACAACGCCAAGAACUCGCUGUCUCUGCAAAUGAGCAGCCUGAGAGCCGAGGACACGGCCGUGUAUUACUGUACUAGAGACACAGUGAGGCGAGGUCAGUGUGAGCCCAGACACAAACCCCCCUGCAGGGGUCCCCGUGACCACCAGGGGGCGCCCGGGACACAAACCCCCCCCGCAGGGGUCCCCGUGACCACCAGGGGGCGCCCGGACACUGAGCUCGGGGCUGUCUCCGGGCCGGAGCCGGUGCUGCUAAGGCCUGGCUUCCUGUCAUGGUCUGCGGCUGCCUCAUUGUCAAAUUUCCCCAGGGAACGUCUCCAGAUCUGUACUAACAUUUCAUGUCUCUGA
This is a non-coding RNA of Macaca mulatta (Rhesus monkey), 820 nucleotides long. Lineage: Eukaryota; Metazoa; Chordata; Mammalia; Primates; Cercopithecidae. The record is from the annotation of a RefSeq genome assembly.